This 292-nucleotide ribosomal RNA is filed under the name uncultured bacterium. Its description in RNAcentral is "partial 16S ribosomal RNA". It matches the Rfam family "Bacterial small subunit ribosomal RNA", at positions 505 to 796 of the family's 1533-position model. The record is from RNAcentral.
GUGCCAGCCGCCGCGGUAAUACGUAGGUGGCAAGCGUUGUCCGGAUUUAUUGGGUUUAAAGGGUGCGUAGGCGGCGCCAUAAGUCAGUGCUGAAAUAUCCCGGCUUAACCGGGAGGGUGGCAUUGAUACUGUGGUGCUUGAGUGUAGUCGAGGUAGGCGGAAUUGACGGUGUAGCGGUGAAAUGCUUAGAUAUCGUCAAGAACACCGAUAGUGUAGACAGCUUACUAGGCUACAACUGACGCUGAGGCACGAAAGUGUGGGGAUCAAACAGGAUUAGAUACCCGGGUAGUCC